UGAGUAACCUGCCCUUAACUCUGGGAUAAGCCUGGGAAACUGGGUCUAAUACUGGAUAUUCACUUCUCAUCGCAUGGUGGGUGGUGGAAAGUUUUUUCGGCUGGGGAUGGGCCCGCGGCCUAUCAGCUUGUUGGUGAGGUAAUGGCUUACCAAGGCGACGACGGGUAGCCGGCCUGAGAGGGCGUCCGGCCACACUGGGACUGAGACACGGCCCAGACUCCUACGGGAGGCAG
This 233-nucleotide ribosomal RNA is filed under the name uncultured bacterium. RNAcentral describes it as "partial 16S ribosomal RNA". It matches the Rfam family "Bacterial small subunit ribosomal RNA", at positions 118 to 351 of the family's 1533-position model. The record is from RNAcentral.